RNAcentral lists this ribosomal RNA (271 nucleotides) under uncultured bacterium. RNAcentral describes it as "partial 16S ribosomal RNA". It matches the Rfam family "Bacterial small subunit ribosomal RNA", at positions 524 to 794 of the family's 1533-position model. The record is from RNAcentral.
UACGGAGGGUGCAAGCGUUAUCCGGAUUCACUGGGUUUAAAGGGUGCGUAGGUGGCUUUGUAAGUCAGUGGUGAAAGCCCGGAGCUUAACUCCGGAACUGCCAUUGAUACUGCUUAGCUUGAAUCAACUUGAGGUGGAUGGAAUAUUACAUGUAGCGGUGAAAUGCUUAGAUAUGUAAUAGAACACCGAUUGCGAAGGCAGUUCACUAAGGUUGUAUUGACACUGAGGCACGAAAGCGUGGGGAUCAAACAGGAUUAGAAACCCUAGUAGU